GGGGAUUUAGCUUAGUGGCAUAAGCACCUGCCUUGCAAGCAGGUGGUCUGAGAUCAAUCUCUG
This 63-nucleotide transfer RNA is filed under the name Cavia porcellus (domestic guinea pig). It matches the Rfam family "tRNA", at positions 1 to 63 of the family's 71-position model. Rfam says of the family: Transfer RNA (tRNA) molecules are approximately 80 nucleotides in length. Their secondary structure includes four short double-helical elements and three loops (D, anti-codon, and T loops). Lineage: Eukaryota; Metazoa; Chordata; Mammalia; Rodentia; Caviidae. The record is from Rfam by way of RNAcentral.